CUUGAUUCAUUCCAAUCGUUUGUUUAUCGAACUUGUUUCAUUUUGAAGAAUACACAAUUUACCAGAAUAUUUUCGCGUUAUCGUGAAGAAUCUUUUCCUGGUUAAAUAUUAGAAAGUGUACAAUAUAUUUCCUCGUCAGCGGUUUUUCUCUUACUCCAAUCGAAGAAUCUCGCUACGUGGAACAUGAGCGCAAAUUUGUGGCCAUCCUGUAGAUUCCUGUUCUUUUUUUACUUGUGUCUUUUUACACUUUCCUUUAUUCCGCUCAUUACUUGCAUUACUGCUUCAAUUACUACUUCUAAAUGCAAAACAAGAAACGUCGGACCGAGAUGAUUAAGCGAACCUUGGCAAAGUUUAAUUAACAAAUUUGCUCGUUUGAAACGUACUUUUUUCCGCAUUUACAACAAAUGAGUGCACCAAUGUUCAAACGAGCUUGGAGAGAAAGAAGAAAGGAAAAAAGAAACGGCGACUGAAGAUGAAGAGCCAGCUGUAAGAUUUUUUUUUCAACGUCCAUCAUUUAUGCAAUCGCCUUUUGUAGACCCCAGGAAUGGCGUGCAUAAUAAACUAAUACGGCACUGCGACCAGUACAAAAUGGUCGACGUGCCUUGGUCGUGUCGUUGACGGUGGGCCUGCGUUACCAGCACCAGCCCGUGCUAUUGAACCGAGUCCCGUAUCGGAGACGAGACGGAGUAAAUAACGCCCGUGAAACGUGCGCGGACGCAGCUAAAUGGCGCGAUAGAACCGCACCGCCUCUCUCCGGGGUGAGACUUCUCCGACUGUUUGCAGUCUACGUGCGGUCGUCGAGGAAGAUCGAGAACGAGCGAGGGACGUGAGGAGCGAUGGAGAAGCGGCAGGAGGUGCUCGCCCCGUUUUCCUCCGACGAGUGUCCGAACAGCGGCGAGGAUAGCGAGGAGGAUGUAAUAACCGAUUACCUUGGCUCAUCGCACUCCGACUGCGAUCGCGUACCACCAAUCAUUAAUGGAGAUCUGCGCGGCCUGAGUUUGCACGGCAGCAUAGUCACGGGGAUUGGCUACAUCACCAAAGACAAUACCGAUAAAGCGUCGAUCGUCAUGUCCGAGAGCGGCGAGGAACAGCAGUACCAGCGGCAGCAACAACAGCAGCAACAACAUCCGUUGCUCGCACUCGGCACUAAUAUACAAACCCAGCCUAAUCCUCUGGUACCCAUCAUUAGCGUCACACCGCAUUCACCUGGUCUGGCGAAGAACUAUCCGGUUCUAGAAGAGAACUUGCAACAGCUGCACGAGAUCCACGAUUGCAUUCAGCGUAUGCGAGACCUUACGUUGGGCACCUUGGGGUACCACAUUCGCGUGUCCAACAACUCCGACGCUCCGCAAAGAUUGACUUCCUCCUGCCCGUCCCUGUGUCCGCUGAUCACCGCCGAGCUCGCGUCUCGUUCCGGUAACAAUCAUCACCAUGACACUGGAUCCGAUCCAGAUCUCUUUCUCGCCAAUUGCUCCACCAACAGUUCCCCGACGCAUUUCCCGACGGCGGGCAGUCGCGCCCGCACGCAACAGUCGCAGAGUAUAGACAGGCGACGCAGCUGGACCGGAGAUCUGGAAGAUCUGGAGGAGAGCCGGCGUGGUAACCGUCGAUAUUCUCAGAAUCAUCUGCAGGCCCAAAAUAUGGUUAAUAUCGUCCGUUUUUUGUUGAAACCAGGGCACGAUCCGAUCUCGCGACAACGCAGCAUUAGUUUAAGUAGCCUAGACAGCGAAAACGAGCUAGAAUUAGAUGGAAAACCGUGUGCUGGACCGGUAAGCGUAGGCAAUCGGGCAUGCAGGUCACAAACGAGCACUCACUCGCUGAACGAAGCUGAUCUUGUACAGAGUGAAUAUCAGAAGAUAGUCACAAAGAGGGGUAGUCAGAGAUUAGCAGAAAGUAGCAGUUUAAUGCCAGGACUGACUGGUUCGCGUUUACCUCUUCAGAAAUCCAUAUCGACGCCCUCGAUCGUUACACCGCAAGUUCACGCACAUUUAGCCGAAACCGGAACUCGGACGACGCCUUCACUCGCAGCCCGUGAAAGAAACGAAAAGGGUAGCGGGAGUGAGACAGAAACUGAGGAUCUUCAUACAUCACACAGCCACGAAUUCCACGAAGAACGGGAGGGCACUCCGAGUGUCCAGAUAUGCCUUGACGAGCUUUUGACCGAUGGUACUGCAUACGAUGAUCAUCAUUCCGAAAAGACUAGAAGGAAGCGCGGUUCCAUCUUCUUUCGCAAAAAGAAGGAUAAAAGCGGCAAAAAGAGUCAUCUGUGGGUAACGUUGACGAUAGGCUCUCAAGGAAGCCUACUGUGUGACGUUUGUAUGAAACAUUCGACGAAUAAGCCGCUCCUUCAUUGCGAUAUUUGCGGAGCAUCCGUUCAUCAAAGCCAAAGCUGCAAGGAUCAAUUGAUGCUGGAAUGCAUCAAGUCUAAACAUCACUCCAGCAAAUCCACAUCAAAAUCUUUAUCGAGCGUUUCCACAAUUUCAAGUAAUAACAGCAUUAACAAACGUGGUUCCACAACAUCGUUGCCUCUGCCAGCGUCAUCCGGAAGCGGAAGGGAAAUUAACAGCCACAAGAAAACCAUGUCAAGCUACAGCCCUUGGCGGCGAGUCGCUACUAAGCUUGGAGUCAAUCAAACGAUAAACGAAGAGAAAGAUGGCGAGGGCGGGCAACAUCGUGAUCUUCCCAGUGGAUGGGAAGAAUUUGAUUUCGGUGAUGACGUUCAUCAAUUCACCGUAGACGAUCUCGACGAUAUAGAUCCCGACUUAACGUUGGGAAAGGAAGAACACGAUUCCUGGAGCUCCGCGAUCGGCCGUAACAUUGCUCUGCGCCUCGUCGAUCAUUGCGAGCGCGAGGUGAAAAGACAGGAACAUAUAUAUGAGUUCGUGCUCACGGAGAAACACCAUUGCUUGGUGCUGCUCGCGAUGGAAAAGAUUUUUGCGGAAGGACUGCGACGGCACUUUCGUCUCGGUCAGCCGGAUCUUGAGCGUAUGUUUCCCCGAUUGCGGGAUCUGAUCGACAUCCAUCUACGAUUUCUACAAAAACUGCGGAAACGCCAGAACGCCAAUCCCGUGGUCUCUACGAUCGUCGAUAUUCUAAUCGAGCAGUUCUCAGGCGAUAACGCGCAACGCAUGAAAAGCGCAUACGGAGAAUUUUGUAGUCGUCAUCGGGAUGCCGUCGAGACAUACAAAUAUUAUUUGCGUAACGAUCCUCGCUUCGCCCGCUUCGUACGAUAUUGUCAGACGAAUCCCUUAUUGAAAAAGAAAGGUAUACCUGAAUGUAUACUUUUUGUUACUCAACGUUUGACAAAGUAUCCAUUACUGAUCGAGCCACUCAUCAAAACCAGCACUGUGCAAGACGAAGGUGAAGAUUUACGUAAAGCACUGAUCCUCGUUAAAGAGAUCUUAGCUGAUGUAGACGCCUGCGUAGCCGAUAAGGAGCGAGAAGAUAGAAAAUUAGAGAUAUACAAUAAGAUUGAUGCGAAGUCAUUCGUGACAUAUCGUGGUGCCAAAUUUAAAAAGUCGGAUAUAAUCAACAGAAUCUUGAAGUUUGAGGGCACUGCAUACUUGAUGCAAGGUCGUGGAAAAAUGAUUGCCAUCGUAGUGGUCGUUCUCUCAGACAUAUUGUUUUUCUUGGCUGAGAGGGAUCAGAAAUACGCGUUCUUCGUGCCUGACAAUAAAGCCGGUAUAGUGUCGUUACAGAAACUGUUAGUUCGCGAAAAAGCUCGUCAAGAAUCUAGUAUUUAUCUGAUAAGCAGCAAUCCGGCUGAACCUGAGAUGUUUGAACUAAAGAUUCAGAAACCAAAGGAUAAGCAAUUAUGGAUACAAGCUAUUCGAUCGGCAGUCGAAGCUUGCCCACAAGAAUCUGAGAAUGAGACUGAAGCGCUGAUGGAAAAUAGUAAUGAAUUACGGGACAUUCGUUCCUCUUCGAUCUCGUUGGCUUCUGUUGAAGAAAAGCAACGUAUCGCCAAAGCUAAGGAAUCACAUAUACUUAGAAUUGUCGACGAAUUGCGAAAAAAAGAUACCGAGCAGGCGCUGCUGUUUGAAGACAAGAUCAAUUUGCAAAUGCGACUUUUACAAGCCGCAAACAUUUGGAGCGGGAACGAGAGUGACAAUGAAAGAAUCGAGAAACUUGAGAAAGAAGGCGCCGAUUAUACUCGAUUGGUGCAUAAUGAGAGGACUGAUACCACUCAAUUAUGGCAAGAGGUAUUUGUAGCCGUACAAGAAGCGACACGUCUCGCUAGCUCAUUAUCGUUCAGCGCGGGUGGUGCUAAUUUAUCGAGAAGUUUAAGUUCUGCCGGUGAACGUCACAGUGAAGCUUACGUUCCACCGGCUCUUUGUGUGCCUCGAAGAGCCGAAACUUUCGCCGGUUUUGAUCACAAUAAGGAGAGGUAUCCGCUGCGUGAUCCAAACGCAUUGCACGCCGUAAUUCCCGUUCCGAAACUUGGCGAGUUACCGAAAGAAAAUCCCGAUGAGAAGGAAGAAUUGGAGACGAACAAGGAUCAGCAGUGGGCGGCAAUACGUUUGUCUCAUCAUGUUUAUACGUUGCUUUGUAUAAUAAGCAGUCAGAUGACGACAAUUGACAGCCUACAGGCGCAAUUGGCCGCGUGUAAGGAUGGCGGCACGGGUAAAUCGUCCAAUAAUCGUCCAAAUCCGAAUCGUCAGUUAGAAGAGCUGCGAAAUCUGCAGGAUCAGCUCUGUCGAGAGAAAGCGGCGUUUCGCGCUGCCUCUCAGCAGGAAAAAAUCCAAUUGGAGGAAGAACGGGCCGAGCUGGCCCGACAAAGAGAACAACUGGCUGCAGAACAGCGAGAUGUGACACAGCAACGAGAUCAAUUGUAUCGACGGCUCGAAGCGUUGGACCGACAGGGCAUCACGUUGGUCGGAAGUUCCACAACCGGCUCGAUUCAUCUAUCGCAUUUGACGCAAAACACUGACACGAUGCAAAGCACACGCGGCAAAGCGCAACCCGAAGCCAAACGCAUCCCCCUAAAUCUGAUUAGCGCGACAAAUCAGCAAAAAGUUCAAAGCAACUUGCCGGUCAAACAACAAUUACCGCUAAAGCUUGCUAGUGGGAGUAACAACAAUACAAGAAGUAGUAGUACCACGAGUAAUAACAGUCCAGAUCGACACUCUAGAACGGGCAGUAGUCCGGCGAUCGUCACCAGCUCUGCGUAUUCUUCGCCGGAGCUCGGAAAUAGCCAUCAUCACGGAAUCAGCAGCGGGAGUCACACGUACUCGUCGAAUCGAUCACUUCGAAUCACUCGCUCUCCGCCCGAAGUUUCGUAUGCGCAGCAACAACAACAGCAGCAACGAAGCGCAGAGCAACAAUCGCAGCAGCAACAACAGCAACCGCUGGAGGAAGAGGUGAUUUUUUUCUGACGAUUCUUCCGAUUCGGUCGCAAGCACUCAUCACGUUCGUCGCGCGCCGCUGCUGCUACUGGUGGUACAACCACGCCAACCUCCACGCCAACACCGUCGCCGCGCAGCCAGUCGCGGAACAGUCAGCCCCGAAGUCGCGUUAAGUCCUUUUGACUUUCGACAUAAACUUCUUACGAAAUAAUUCCGUUCGUCAAGAGCACACGAUAUACACUUGGUAUUUUCUCCACUGAAAUACCGAAAUAGGAAUAUAUAUAUAAAAAAAUAGCGGGAGGAAUUCAUAUAUCUGGUAUUUCGUUUCGAGAUUAUUCACUGCCAUUAUAUUGUUAUUCUUUAUCGAGUGUUCUUUUUCUUAUAUUAUUUCUACAAAUUGUACACUAUUUAUUGUGUUGCUUAAGAUUAAUAAUUAAAGUUUCUAUACGAAACUACGUAAAAUGUGGAAACUGGGAAAGUUUGUUGUACAAGAAUCGCGUAACGAAUAUCCCAUCGUUCCGAAUUCGCAUCUUUUCGCGGAUCUUGUAAUCCCCCCUUGUCUGACAUAUUUUAUUUAUACAUGUAUCAUGCUUAUCAACGAAGAAAGUUUUUAAAUAGGAAUUUUUUAAUCAUAUAAGGUACUGUAUGUCGGAGCUGAUUUACUAUUCUGUAUGUAAAUUGCAAACGAUACGGUACGUGUAUUUAGCAUUUAUAUUAAUGAAAAUCAUCUCAUCGAAUCAAAUCAUUCUUAUCUUUCAAAUUUGAAAAGGACAAUUCUGUACGCGAAAAUUCCAUUAAUACGUAAAAUAUAUUGUUAUGAUGAUUGUCAAUAUGCAUCCGAAUUAUGGAUUCCUAUACUAUUCGGUUUACAAACGGUCAUAGUUAAAUAACGCUGUGUAAAUAUACAUUCCUUAACAGAUAAGACUGGCAUGCAAUAUGAUUGAAUUGACGAAGGCUAGAUAGAGGGUUGAUCAUUGUAAUAGAUCGACGAUAAGAAAAAAAACGACUAAUGAAUUGACCUCGUUAAGGAAAUUUAAGUAAUAAUACUAUCAACUGCUCGCGUCUCAAUCAAUCGUGUGGUGACAAUAGAUCUUAAAAGUAUUCCAUAAGAUAUGCUGAAUUACGCGAGAGAAAAGAAAAAAAAAGAGAAAAAAAGCACAUAAGAGCGAUAACUUAUUAUAUACGAAUCUAUACCUACUAUUACUUACUAUCUACUGCGAUGCCGAGCUAAAUAAAAGCUCAAACUCAGACUAUUAUUGCGAUUAGCUGUUACAGUAUCUGCCACGGGUGACUUCAUAUUGUGAGUAACAUAUAAAUUCAAAAUUGUACAACUAGUAGCAUUCACAACACUCACUAGAGAGAAAAGAAAAAAUCGGAAAAUUUCAAAUUGAUUUUCAAAACUAAAUUGAAAUGUCUGUAAUCGAUUUAAGAAAACAUUUUACACACUCGCGGUGCAAAAGCCACGAUGCGAUAAAGCGAAUCAACGAUAUCGCAUGCUAUGCAAUCAAAUUUUGUGUCUUUCGAUGUGAAAAGUGAUUAUAAAAAAAAUGAUUUAUUCUUAAUGACAUAAAUAAAUAAAUGAAUGAAGUCACAUAUGCAAUCUCCCGUGGGAUGACACGCAUUGAAGAAUCAAAUCGGCAACAGCUAAGGAUUAGCGCGACGGCCUACGCGCGCCUAUCUUGUGGCGUUUUCUAUCUUUUUUUUUCCUAGGAUAAUGUCACGCGGAUAGUGACGCACAGUUUGAAAAGAUUAUAUAUAUAUAUAUAUACACAUAUAUACACAGGGUAUUCGGAAAAUCACCCGCAGUACUUCGGAAAGUGAUUUUCUAAACCCAAAAAGAAGGAAAAAAAGCUAUAUAAAUGUAGGAAAUAAAUUACCGAGUUAUAGCCACUUUUACGUUAAAAAAAAAAUCUUAAUUUAUAA
This 7268-nucleotide unclassified non-coding RNA is filed under the name Camponotus floridanus (Florida carpenter ant). RNAcentral's name for it is "rho guanine nucleotide exchange factor 18, transcript variant X7". Lineage: Eukaryota; Metazoa; Arthropoda; Insecta; Hymenoptera; Formicidae. The record is from RNAcentral.